CUGACGCUGAGGCGCGAAAGCUAGGGGAGCAAACAGGAUUAGAUACCCUGGUAGUCCUAGCCCUAAACGAUGAUUGCUUGGUGUGAUCGGUACCCAAUCCGAUUGUGCCGCAGCUAACGCGAUAAGCAAUCCGCCUGGGGAGUACGGCCGCAAGGCUGAAACUCAAAGGAAUUGACGGGGGCCCGCACAAGCGGUGGAGCAUGUGGUUCAAUUCGACGCAACGCGAAGAACCUUACCUGGGCUCGAAAUGCAGGAGACCGGGGUAGAAAUAUCCUUUUCUCGCAAGAGACUGCUGUAUAGGUGCUGCAUGGCUGUCGUCAGCUCGUGUCGUGAGAUGUUGGGUUAAGUCCCGCAACGAGCGCAACCCUCAUCCCUAGUUGCCACCGGGUCAAGCCGAGCACUCUAGUGAAACCGCCCCGGAUAACGGGGAGGAAGGUGGGGAUGACGUCAAGUCCUCAUGGCCUUUAUGUCCAGGGCUACACACGUGCUACAAUGGUCGGUACAAACCGUCGCAAAGCCGCAAGGUGGAGCUAAUCGGAAAAAGCCGGCCUCAGUUCGGAUUGGAGUCUGCAACUCGACUCCAUGAAGCUGGAAUCGCUAGUAAUCGCAGAUCAGAACGCUGCGGUGAAUACGUUCCCGGGCCUUGUACACACCGCCCGUCACAUCACGAAAGUGGGCUGCACUAGAAGCCGGUGUGCCA
Molecule: ribosomal RNA, 700 nt
Filed under: uncultured bacterium
Lineage: Bacteria
Description: bacterial SSU rRNA
Rfam family: Bacterial small subunit ribosomal RNA
Source: RNAcentral